UACGUAGGGGGCAAGCGUUGUCCGGAUUUAUUGGGCGUAAAGAGUGUGUAGGCGGCCGCACAGGUCCGUUGUGAAAACUGGAGGCUCAACCUUCAGACGUCGAUGGAAACCGUGCGGCUAGAGUCCGGAAGAGGAGAGUGGAAUUCCUGGUGUAGCGGUGAAAUGCGCAGAUAUCAGGAAGAGCACCCGUGGCGAAGGCGGCUCUCUGGGACGGUACUGACGCUGAGACGCGAAAGCGUGGGGAGCGAACAGG
RNAcentral lists this ribosomal RNA (253 nucleotides) under uncultured bacterium. Its description in RNAcentral is "partial 16S ribosomal RNA". It matches the Rfam family "Bacterial small subunit ribosomal RNA", at positions 524 to 776 of the family's 1533-position model. The record is from RNAcentral.